Molecule: long non-coding RNA, 439 nt
Organism: Brassica napus (rape)
Lineage: Eukaryota; Viridiplantae; Streptophyta; Magnoliopsida; Brassicales; Brassicaceae
Exons: 3
Source: RefSeq, a predicted model, not a curated record
UCUUGUUCUUUUUCUUGUUCUUCUUCGUUUCACCUCCAGUACCCUUCUCCUCUGUUCGGCGUCAGCAACGUCUCCAGUUCAGGUCAUCUCUGCCUCCUUCUAUUCAAAGCAUCUUCGCUAGCCACGAGAUCGUGACCAAGUAUAUGGGUGUGAUUUGGGAGAGUUUUACAAACAAGAAGACGAAAGUACCGUCCAGAACCCACGAGAUUGCCCGGAGACGAUGGUCGUGGCGGCCGGGUUCGACCCGUUAAAGGAAAAGAGAGAUCGAGAUGUUCCUUGCGUGAGGCUCCAACAGAUUAAGGACUUCCACUAAGAUUUCUCAAGGUUAGUGCUUUCUUUUUCUCCAAGUUUAUGUUUUGUAGCGAGAGUUGCGAAUUUUUAGUGAUGAUCGCAUUUGGAAGAUAGGCUUUACUGCUGGUUCGUACUUGUAUUACUGAAA